Molecule: long non-coding RNA, 116 nt
Organism: Nothoprocta perdicaria
Lineage: Eukaryota; Metazoa; Chordata; Aves; Tinamiformes; Tinamidae
Exons: 2
Source: RefSeq, a predicted model, not a curated record
AGCCCAGCGCGAGCGCCGCGGGACCUCGGCCGUGUGACAGACCGCUCGCGCCGUGCCAGCGCCUAAUGGCACCGGCGUAGGGAGCCGCGCUUUGUUCCGGCGGGGAGCGGAGCGCC